UAGAGACCAAGGUAUAGGCUGGGCUUAGUUCUCAUGUGAAGCCUCUGGGGAAAAAGUUCACUUCCACGUUCUUUUUUUUAUUUUUGCAGUCGCACGCAGGAAAGGAGGAAAUUUUCGAUAGAAAAAGCUUGGAGAUCCUGUUGCUGUCACCCAUCGCGCUGUUGGAGGCUGGGAUUAGUCCGGAACUCUGCAGGAUCUCUGAAUUGAUUGAAUUAACUGAAAGGGACAAGGGAGCAAGAGAGAAAGCCUGUGACUUGCUGGGAACCGGUACUAGUGACUCAGUCACAUAAAAGGACACACUAUUAAGGAGGUGAGUAACUAGGAGAACUAGGAGGGGAGAUGAGGGAGGCUUCUGGGGUGCUGUCGGUGUCCUGUAUCAUGAUCUGGGGGAGGUUACAUCAUCUGCUCACUGUGUGAAGAUUCACUGAGCUGGAUGUACACGUCUACCUUGUGUUCACAAUUGAAUUGAAUACAUGAAUAUAUUAUUAUAUAAAUAUACAAUAUGCAUAUAAAACUUAAAAAACAAAGUAGGGAGAUGAAGGUGGCUUGGACCAGACUUAUCAGUGGAGGUGGGAAGAAAUGAGUGGGUUCUAGAUCUCUUCUAUAGGUAGAUCCAACAAGAUUUGCAAACAGAUCUAAUGUUAGGUUUGAAGAAAGAGAACAGUCCAAGGUAGUGUCAAGUUCUUUGGCUGAGCCACAGCGAAGACUGAGGGACUGCUGUGUACCAGGCCUUGGGCUAAACUCUACUAACUUUUUUAAUCUUCAUGACAGUUCUAGGAAGUAAGUCUGGCAAGAGCCCUUUCUGAGGUUUUUGUGGGGCUACUGGGAGCCGUUCCUCCAGAAUUGUAGUUUGUGUGAUGGAUUCUGGAGCAAGUGAUGGCCACCUUUGCCUCCACAAGGAUAGAGUCUGCCUGAGAGUGAAGGUGAUAAGGAGGAAAUCAAAGCCAUGAUAGAGAGAGACAGGAUCCUCACAAUAACGUGUCAGCUCUUGGGUUCAGCCAUACCUGAAGCCCAGCCAUACCCUGGGCUUCUCAGUUAUAUAAAUUAAUAAUUCCUUUUUUUUUUCUUUUUUUUCACUUCUAACUGAAGAGUCCAGACUAACACAACUUCUUCAUAUGUG
This 1120-nucleotide long non-coding RNA is filed under the name Callithrix jacchus (white-tufted-ear marmoset). RNAcentral describes it as "lncRNA (ENSCJAG00000085428.1)". The record is from RNAcentral. Lineage: Eukaryota; Metazoa; Chordata; Mammalia; Primates; Cebidae.